RNAcentral lists this long non-coding RNA (577 nucleotides) under Vigna radiata. Its description in RNAcentral is "long non-coding RNA (VRAD_LNC006705)". Lineage: Eukaryota; Viridiplantae; Streptophyta; Magnoliopsida; Fabales; Fabaceae. The record is from RNAcentral.
GUGAAUAUGCAUUCAUAUAUUAAGAUCAACACAAAACAUGUUCAAUAAGAUAUCAACCAAUAAGUGACAGAACAAGUAACACAUCAACAAUACAUGUGUUAUUAAUAAUGUGUUGUCAUCAUCAAACGCUAGAGGGAAUAAAGCACUGUGAGAUUAAGGUUAGCUAAACCAGUGCUUCCCUUAUCAACAAUCUCAACAGAAUGCAAGGAUGUUGUCAACAAAAGUGACAAGGUUUUAGAUUGGAGAAAAAUAGAGAGAGAAGAAUAAGAAAGCUUGAGUGAAAAAGAGAAAGAAAAAGAAGAGAGUGAGGGAGAAGAAAAUAAAGAAAGAGAGGAAGAAGAUGAGAGAAAAAUAGAGAAAGAAGAAGAAAAAAGGUUUUGUGGAAAAGAGAAAGAUGCAGAGAAGGAUGAAAGAAAAAAGAAAGAAUCAUAUGAAAACCCCUUCCCCACUCAAAGAAACAUCACAAGAAGAAGAAAGAAAAACAGUUUGAGCGAUUCAUGGGUGAUGAGUCGAUAUUUUCUUGAUUGCACGUAGUUUAUUGUACCGAAUUUAAUCAGGGAAUUGUGCUUAAUUGUCC